This is a long non-coding RNA of Oreochromis aureus, 477 nucleotides long. The record is from Ensembl. Lineage: Eukaryota; Metazoa; Chordata; Actinopteri; Cichliformes; Cichlidae.
GUGAAAAGAAAAGAGAGGGAGGAAGUUAAGUUGGACGUGUGUGUGUGUGUGUCACAGAGAUCACACAGCUGAGGCAUGUGGAGGUGUACAGCACAUAGGUGUUUUGACUGACAGCUUCUAGCUGUAAUCACGUGUAUGAUUGUUUCCACAUGUGAAACGGAUGUAAAAAUGAUUGGAUGAAAAAUCCCCCCCGUGGCCGGCAGUCUGAAUAAAGGCUGUGAAGUCGUGUCAACAUGGUUUCAGUUAUCCUGCAGGAAACAGAUGGUCUACAACAGCAGAAGACUACAUCAGGUCCCACUCCUGUCAACUAAGACAGCACAGGCUCACCAAAAUUGGAAAUUAGAAGACUGGAAAAACAAUAUGAGCAACAUUCAGAAGGUAGGGUCAGAAUUUUGCAUAAAAAACACGAAAGUGUGUCUCCGUCAUGCCUCGUUCAGGCAGUUUUGCUAUACUAUUGGCUGUAAAUUACUUCAGGUG